CCGGGUACCAAGGAAGGAAAGCAGGACAUAGCUAGGAGUAAGUUGGACAAAGAGAACUAUCACAUGGAUCUGUUUUCUCAAGCACGUGGCUCAACUGGGAUGGGGACUUCUAGUUUUAUGCAGAAGCAAGUGAAGAUGUCAGAGCAAGGUUAUGGAAAGGGAUAGGGAACUAAAUGCCAUAAUUUCAUCAAUGAAGGGAGCUGAGCACAGCUGUUCACGAAGAUUAAACCCCGGAGUUCAGUCUUGCACCUGAACAGGCAAAGGACACCUCUCCAUGCAGUCCUGCAGUUAUACUGAGGCAUCUUCAUCUAAACAUUUUAAUGCA
This 325-nucleotide long non-coding RNA is filed under the name Gallus gallus (chicken). Its description in RNAcentral is "long non-coding RNA NONGGAT004528". Lineage: Eukaryota; Metazoa; Chordata; Aves; Galliformes; Phasianidae. The record is from RNAcentral.